UUGGAGGCGGGGCAGACACCGGACACCGGACAAGCUGACCCAAGCCCCUAACACCGACUGGGACCCCAGGCAGGGAAUCCUGGCUCGUAAUCACUCAGCCCCGCUGCUCUGGAGUGACUGGAGUCCGGACUCCAGCCUGCCAGAAAGGAAAGGGACCAUCACACGGAAAAGGAAGCAUCUGCUUGAGCCCAGUGGGCAUAAUUAGAAGAAAUGAAUGGAAUUUUCAGUAAGGAAGAACUUCCUGCCAUUGAGAACUAUCUAAAGGUGGGAGAGGUUGUCUAUCCCUCAGAGGACUUUUAAGCAAGAAUUCUUUUUAAGGCACCAUCUUAUUAAAAGUGGAUUAGCAUAUCUGCUUCAAGACUACAAAUAAUUUGGAAAGGGAGGUUUUAUUUCAAGAAGUCUGAAAAAAUGUCUUGUGUGGGGAAGUUGGAACUGGCCUCCUCCUGAGCACAAAGGGAUAAAGGCAAUAAAACAGGUAGGAAAAACUUCAGAGAGGAGCACAGAGGAUAGAGUGCCAGCCCUGGGGAGCCAGGAGGAUCUGUGUACAAAUCUAGCCUCAGACACCUACUUAUUGCAUGACCCUGGGUGAGUCACUUAACCCUAUUUGCCUCAGUUUCCUCAUCUGUAAAAUGAGCUGGAGAAGGAAAAUGGCCAACCACUCCAAUUUCUUUGCCAAGAAAACUCCAAAUAGGGUCAAGAAGAGUUGGACAUGGCUGAACAUCAACAAGCUUCACAGAGUGUUUCCCCACUGGCAGCAGACUGAGAAUUGGCCCUGGUGAAUUACAGUCAAGAUGCAGAGAGGGUGAUAAAUGAAUCAGAAAGACCCUGAGUCUCUGCAGGACUGGAAAUGAAUAUUCCACUGGGUUCUCCAUGUGUAUGCCUAUCAUUGUAUUCCAACUUUGUGCUCACUCUUCCCAAAGACACUUUUGUCUUUUGAUUCCACCUUCACCAUCCCAUUCAGCCCAUCACUGGCCUAAAAUCUCUGGGAACUAAAAGAUGGGAACAUCUCUGAUGUACACCAAAAAAAUAUGUUUCUCUAUGAAAAAGUAAAGCUUACAAGUCAUCUCAGGGCUGAGGGUGGGAAUUAAAAUAGCUAUCUCUGGGGCUAUGACACCACCCCUGGGGUUCCUGAGAGUCACCACUCACUCCUUCCUCCAUCCCCUGACCUCACUGACUGGUCUAAGACCAAAAAGUUUUGUGCUUUCAGAGAGGUUCAGGACAAAGACCUGAAGAGCAUUCCAUCUUAUCUCUACUCAUCUUGAGAUGACUCCUGGUUAAUGAACCACUUUUAUUUGUAAGUUUUAUGUGUGCUGCCUAUUUCUGUUGCCAUCAAAUUGAGGAAAAAUGUGACCUUGCACAUAGGAAGUGGCUAAUAACUGCUUAUUGAUUUGACUUGAAUAGAAAAAUCUAAUAAUUUAUUUUCUGUAAACUCUAAAAUUAACCCUGACCCUAAAACUAAAUGGCACUAAAACAUUUCCAGAGUUCUAGAAAUGCAAUCAUACAAAAGAGAGAAAUUGAAGGUAUAAAUGUACACAAAAAGGAGACAAAAUUAUUCCUGUUCAUAGAGAACAUGAUAAAGUACUUAGAAAACUAUAGUAAAUUAGAGAAGAAACUAGUUAAGUGAUUAUUCAACUCAAGUCAAUAAGCAUUAAAAAAUUUUUUUUAAACCUUUACCUUUGGUCUUAGAGUUAAUACUAUACAUUGGUUCGGUUUUUAAAAUUCAGAUAUUUUAUUUUCCCAAUUACAUGUAAGAACAAUUUUUAACAUGUUUCCCAAAAUUAUAAGAUCCAAACCAUUUCCCUCCCUCCUUUUCCUUCCCCAACUCAGAGAUGCUAAACAAUUUGAUCUGGGCCAUAUAUGCAUCAUCAUGCAAAAAACACUUGUGGAAAGGGCUAGGCAAAUGGGAUUAAGUGACUUGCCCAGGGCCACACAGCCAGGAAGUGUCUGAGGCCACAUUUGAACCCAGGAUCUCCUCUCUCUAGCUCAUUUUUUGAGGGUCUUCUAAUGGCCUGCUAGGAAGUGGUAAUCCAAAAACAAAAAGCAAAACUGACCUUUCCUUUAUGGACUUUACAUGCUACUGGUGGGAAACAAUAUGUACCCAGGUCUAUAGAUUCAGAAUCUAUUUGUUUGUCAAGUCUUGUCUUUUCUACUUCUGUAACAUCUCUCAAAUAGGCUCUCUUCCUUCCCUUGACACAACCACCUCCCUGGUGUAGGUCCUCAUCAGCUCAUCCCUGGAUUAUUGCAAGCACCUGCUGUAAGGGCUGCCUGCCUCAGAUCUCUUCCCCACUCCAGUCCAUUCUCCCCUCAGCUGGCCAGUUGGUCUUCCUAAAAUGCAGAUCUGACCUUAUCAUUGCCCCCCUCCAACAAAUUCCAAUUAGCUCCAAGAUGAAAUUAAAAUCCUGUUUGGCUCUCUAAGCCCUUUGCAACCUGAUCUUUGCCUACCCGUCUAGCCUUCUUACAACGUGCUCUCUUCCAGGUACUGGGGAUCCGGUGGCAAUGGCCUCCUUGUUGCUGCUCAAAUUCCACAUUCUUUCUCUCACCUUUGAACAUUCUCUCUGGCUGUCCCCCAUGCCUAGAAAGCUUUGGCUCUGCCCCUCUGCCUCCUAGAAUCCCUAGCUUCCUUCAAAUCUCAGUCCUUCUUAAAUUUAUUGCCUUCCCUCCGAGAUUAUCUGCAUUUUGCCUUGUAAAUGGCUUACUUAUACAUAUAUUUGUUUGGCUCCCCUCUUAGACUGGGACAGUUUUUCCCCUUUCAUUGUAUUCCCUAGCACUGAGCACAGUGUCUGGUACACAGUAGGCUGACUCUGGGAAAGUCAUUUAACUCAUUUGCCUCAGUUUCCUCAAAUGAAAAAUGGGGAUAAGUGCACUUACCUCACAGGGUUGUUGUAAGAUCAAAUGAGAUAUUUGUAGAAAUGCUAAGCACAGUGCUUGGCAUAGAGUUGGUUCCAUAUAAAUGUUUCUUCCCUUUUCUUCCCUCUUAACUUAAUAAAUGCUAGUUGGCUGACUCGUUAAAGUAAAUACAAAGUAAUGAGUGGGGAAAGAAGUACUAACUAUUGGGGGGAACUGGAAAGAUUUCCUUUAGGAGGGAAUCUAUCACCUAUGCUCUGGAAGAAGCUAGAAAUUCUAUAAAAUAGAUAUGAGGAGGAAAAGUAUGGCAAGAGGAGAUGGACUGUCAUAUGUUGGAGAAAGCAAGAAAGCUAGUCUCCAACCCACCUGCCCCACUUGUGGUUGGUUUUCCUUUUAUUUCCUUUUCUUUUAAACGCUUUCCAGAAAGUUUUAAUGUUUUAGCUAAUACAGUGUUCUCACAUUUUGCUAGCAAUUGUUUUAUUUUGGGUGUUCUUAUAUGUUUGGCUGGAAAGCUUGGUUGUUGUUUGGAGGCUUUGUUAAAUUAAAUUAAAUUAGCUAUGUCUCUCUGUAAACGUUUUAAGUCCAUUUCAUUCUGAAAUCUCCAUUCCUGUUUUCAUAGAGCAUACUGCACUUUCUGAGAAGAUAAUUCUGGGUUUGUGAACUAUAAUUUAUUUUAUUCUUUUUAAUUUGUACAAAUCCUCUCUUUUCUUCCUUGAAAGGCCCUUGAUGACCCCAAUUAUUAUUACUUGGUAAGGAUUUUUCACUCCUGGUAGCUUUGGGAUAUUUUUCCCCUUAUCAUUGCAUGACAUGUUUAGGAGUUUUAAAUCUUGGCUUCUUUUUUGCUGGGUCUUAGAGAUUUUUUUUUACAUUUCUCUCAUUUUUUUUUAUUAAGGGAAAUUCUAUUUAGUAAUUUCCUGUCUCGAUUCUUUGUUUCUUUUUUUUCUCUAAAUUCUCUGGAAUGUCAAUAAUCCCAAGAUCCAUGAUCUAUUAGUGGCCUAUCACUUGCCUACAUAUUUUUCAAUAGUCUAGUCAAUAAGCAUUUACUAAGCACUUAUAUAUUAGGCAUUUUGCUAAGCUCUAGGGAUACAAAGAAAAGAAAAAGUUAGCCCUCAAGGAUGUGAAUUUCUCAUAAGGAAGACAACAGGCAAAUAUUUCUGUACAUAAAAGAUAUAUGGGAAGUAUAAAUAGGAGGUAAUCUCAGAGGAAGGGGCGGGGGGGGGGAAUGAGGCAAGCAGGUAAAUAUCUUACAAAAGAUGAAAUUUGCAGUGAUUCUUGGAGGAAGUCAGGAAGCAGAGGCAAGGAGGAAAAGCAUUCUAGCUUGGGAGACCCCCAGUGAAAAGGUACCAAAUCUGGAGAUGGAGCAUCAUGUUCAAGGAACAAUGAAAAGGCCAGGGUUACUGGAUGGUAGAGCUCCUGGAGGGGAAUGAAGACUAAAAAAGACUUGAGAGGCGGCCAGCAUCCAGGCUGUCAAGGGGUUUAAAAGCCUAAAUUAGGAAGAUUUUCUAUUUGAUCCUGGAAAUAACUGGGUACCACUGGAGUUCACUAGAUCUGCAUAGAGAUGAUGAUCAUGGAAACUAUGGGAGCUGAUGAAAUCACCAAGUGAGAAAGCAUAGAUAUAGAAGAGAGAAGAGUCCAGGACAGAGCUUUGAGGACAGCCAAUUAGUGGGCACAGCCUAGAUGAAGAUCCAGAAAAGAACAACGAAGACUGCUUAGACAGGCAAGAGGAGAACCAAAAGAGAACAAUGUCCUAAAAACCUAGAGAGGAGAUAAGGAAGCAGGAGAGGAUGAUUGACAGUGUCAGAGACUGCAAGAAGGAUGAAGAUUGAGAAAAGGUCACAUUUUGUCAAGUAAUAGAAACGAGUUGGUGUAAAUCGGUGACUUAUUUUUAGUCUUUUGAGUCCUGGGGGUUCUAUACUGUGUGUGUGCAUUUGUUAUUUUAUUUUACUCGAAUAUUUCAUAUUUAUUUUUGUUAAUAUUUAAUAAUGAAUUUAAUUUUAAAUUUUUAUCAAAUCGUUAUGAUUUCACCCUAAAUGUAAUAAAAAUGAAUUUUAG
Long non-coding RNA from Monodelphis domestica (gray short-tailed opossum), 4896 nucleotides. RefSeq lists it as uncharacterized. NCBI's taxonomy places the organism in Eukaryota, Metazoa, Chordata, Mammalia, Didelphimorphia, Didelphidae. The record is from RefSeq and is a predicted model, not a curated record.